AUCUCUCUAUUUCUUGAACCCAGUACGAAAGGGGAGAGCAAGAACCCUCAUGUCCUCACGUUUCUCUUCUUGCAUCAGCCCCUUCUUCUCCGAAAUCUCCUGAAGAAAGCAACAAAACCCUCUCUCUCUCUCUCUCUCUCUCUCUCUCUCUCUCUCUCUCAUGUCCAUAUACAUAAACAGAACUGUGUUAGAUUGUGAAGAUCUUGAGUCACUUUCCUGUCUCUGACUCUCAUGAUGACAAUGACCUCUCUCUUCUUUUUCGCAUAAUACCAUACUUCCCUUGGUUUUAGUCAUUGCUUUGAUCAUUUAUUGUCUACUCUUGUUUAGUUUUUUCCCUGCGUACUUCCGUUUUUUCUUCCAUCUUUUUGUUGUUUUUCGUUUGCUCACUCAAGUAGCUAUGCGUGAUGGGUUUGUGCUUAUGGACAUGAAUACCAAGAACAAAAAUCUCUCCCUAUGAAAAAUUGCUGGAAAAGAUCAUAUUUAGACAUGGUGAGUGUAGGGUUUUCUUUUUAUUUCAUGCUUUCUUCUGCUUCAGAAAGUUAUUCAGCUACUGUAUCUCUUGGGUAAUUAGUGAACUGCCAAUUCAAGUGAUUAUAUUGGAUUUUUGUUCCAAUUAGUAGCUGCAGAUCCUUGUUCACGCGAUUAAUGUUUUCAGUGUUAUCUGCUGCUGUUUCAUGUGGUGGUUGUGGGACGUGGUGGGACUUAUUGUCCCGUCUUCCUUCUUCAAGGAGAGGAAAAGAUUAGCUUCUUGAGAUUGAAAGAUUUAACUGUAGGAAAAUCCGAAUGCUCCACUGUGCAGUGCAAAUAUACGCACAUAUAGAUACGAGAUUGUACCUGCGGUUAGCUCAUGAUCUUAGGGUCAGUUGGUCUUUACUGUGAAAACUUUUUUUUGUUCCUUUUCCAAGACUACUUCUUUGAUCCGUUCUUUAUAUAAUAAUUUCUUAUGAAUGAGAUCUUUAUCUGAAUCAUUCUUGAAUGAUAAUUUCUUUCUGUCUCCUCAAGAUUUUACACAGUUACCAUUAAUCAUCGGUUUGAGUUCAGUUUAUCUCAACAGUUGGGUGUAUUAGCAGGAGGGUUCUUUCGUGAAGGUAGGAUUUUUCCUAUCUGUUUGUCUUCGGAAAUCUUUCCCCCUUUCGGUCCAGUAAGAAAAAAUGUUAAAUGUUGUCUUGCGCCAAAUGAUGAAUCCAAUGGAAUAUUCCUAGGUCUUGAAUCGGGAGUUCCAAGUACGUGGUGGGUUUUCAUUUUCUUGGAUAUAUUGUCAUUGAAGGGUUCGUAGAGAUUCUUGAGUAUGAUUGAUGGGGAGACUCUUUUUGCUGAUCACGAGCAUUCAUUGUUAGUCAGAUUGUGCAGUGUGUCCUUACCCUCUUGCCUUGAACACUGACUCUCUGUUUGAUGCUUCUCCAUGUUACCUGAUGGUGCUAAUGCAUGCGCGGAUGUGGAUAUAUUUUACUCGGAGUGAAACUUGUGCUUGCUAUAUAGAUGCACAUACGUUUGCAGGCUUGGGACAAAAGCGAAACACAGGCAAAAUCUGAGUGAUGUUGGCUUCAAAGAGAUGGUGUGAGAGAGAGAGCUUUCUUCAGUCCACUCAUGGAUGGAACAAAGGGGGUUGAAAUAGCUGCCGACUCAUUCAUUCAAUCACUCAGUAGAGAAAAUGGGGCAAAUUAGUUUGUGCUUUUACUGGUGACUGUGUGAAUGAUGCGGGAGAUACUUUGCACCCCUCUUUUUCUGUGCUUGGACUGAAGGGAGCUCCUUCUCUCUCUUCUCUCUGCUAUUGUGUGUGUGAGUAGGUGUGGCCAAAUUGAGAAGCCUAGUGCCGUCUCUGUUACCAUUGUUGGAAGUUUCUUUCCUUGAGAAUCGAUGUAGUUGUUGCAUGCAAUGUGGACUCAGAAUGUCAGGUUAGAAACUUUUGAAAGUGAUGACCGGUCCACGAGGACGGAGGACCGGUACGCAAGGACGGAGGGAAUGGACCGUAGCUAUAGGCAAUGGCCGGUGGAGGCAGCUGAUGGCCAAUAUCAAGUGACCUGUGGAGAUGGGGAUGGCUUGCCCUUUAGAUGAUGCCUUCAGGCUUCAAUCAUUUCAGCUUGCCUUUUCUCAAUGUACAGAUUGGGUCGGCCUCAAAAUGCACGCUGAAGCAAAGGAGGGAAAAGAACUGGCGAGCCAAUGUGCCCCGUGGGAGUUCCCGUGCUUUUGAUGACUAAGAGCCAGAAGGACAAAAUUGCACAAAGAAGCUCUUCUUUCCGAUGUUUCCUUCGCAAAGUUUGUUGCUAAAACAUUGCUUUUAAGCAUCAACUCUUGGCGAGUAAACGGAUUAAUCUGUCUUCGUCGUGAAUUUGCACGAAGUGAUUACCUCCUGUGAUUACUGACUAUGAGAACUGAGGAGUCUCAGAUGUAGCUUCCUAUCAUUUCAUGUGGGUUAUUUUCUGCUUGGGAAAGAAUGGUAUUACUGGGACACCAUGACCCUCUUUUUAUCUUUUCUUGGCGAAGCAAAGAAACUGGAAAGGAUUACUAAACCAAACGUUGAACUUUCCAACCU
Molecule: long non-coding RNA, 2533 nt
Organism: Rhodamnia argentea
Lineage: Eukaryota; Viridiplantae; Streptophyta; Magnoliopsida; Myrtales; Myrtaceae
Exons: 2
Source: RefSeq, a predicted model, not a curated record